Acanthochromis polyacanthus (spiny chromis) is the source of this 745-nucleotide long non-coding RNA. RefSeq lists it as uncharacterized. NCBI's taxonomy places the organism in Eukaryota, Metazoa, Chordata, Actinopteri, Pomacentridae. The record is from RefSeq and is a predicted model, not a curated record. The transcript is spliced from 5 exons.
GCUUCGGUUUUUUUCUCUCUCUCUGCCGGAUCGUCUCUGAGGCAGCGGUGUGCUCGUUUCCUGCUGCAGAUUAUGCCGAUUUUCGUCUGAGAGGGCCAGAUAUUCCAAGUCUAAGUCGCUUUUAUUGUUAGGGCAGAGAGUGGAGCCUUUCCUUUUUGCCGUGGCAGAUGAGCGGACCGUGGGUUCACAACAGAAGCGGAGGAGAACCGGGAUCCUGGACUGAUGAGAGCGUGUAUUGUACCCUGUACCUGGAGUGUGUGUGUACAUGAACUGUGAGCCUCUGGCCGGGUCUUUUGGUAUUCCCCUUUGUAUGGAUUCCUGUGUCAAUCUGCAAGACAUCUUCUUCUACUGGGGAUUCUUCCGGUCUCUGUAAAGCGACCUAGAACUUCUGACUACUGGUCCACAAGAGCAUGGCUGGACAGCAGCAGGAUGGUUCCUCAGCUUCCGCUGCACAGACUGACACAGUGAGAUGGAUGUUCAGGAAACACCAGAGCUUCAUUCUGUGGAAUCCAUGUGCAACUGUAUAAUUGAAUGUCCUCUAUGUAUUCCCAGUUAUCAGUAAAACAGAUUUACAAACUGCAUUUGCUGAGAAAAAUCCAAAAAACAGAUUAGGAGGGCAGAUCUGGAAAUUGAAAUACUGGAGCACAAGUUAGAGGUGGUGAUGGUCACAGGUGAAUUAUGUUAACUACUGGAACAUGAACUGAACUAUCUUUUAUUUGUAGGAAAUAAAGAAGAGCAAAUGAAA